CCAGUGUGCCCGUGGCUUAAGGGAGAGCCCUGGGUUUGCUCCCCAUCCUUUUCCACAAGGCUGGGGCACAGUGUGUCCUCCCAGGCACAGCCCCCAGCCUGGCUGGGUAACUCCUAAGUGGUAAAGCUGGCCUAAUUAGUCUGCAUAAUCAUCCCCCAUAAAUCACUCCUCCCCAUUCCCUGCAGACUAUCGGCAGCAUCUGAAGUCCUUAGUUAAUUUAAACCUGGGAGUUCACACGUUGGCUUAUCGCAGGAGCCAUCUCCCUUCCCCGCUAAGCGCUUGCUCGGUACAUCCCCGGCUGCUAGAUCCGAUCUGCGCCCGCUUUGAAGCCGUGAUGGGCUGCCAGCAGGCGAGCAGUUUGCCCGACUGCUGGAAGGAGAAGGCAGCUCCUAUGCUGCUGCAGCUUUCCCGUCUGUCAGGGGAGAUCACAGAAUCAUAGAAUCAUCUGUGUUGGAAAAGAUCACCUGUAAGAUCAUCGAGUCAGGUCUUCAUGUGUUUGUUCAUGAAAUGAAAGACGGCUGGUGAGCCUGCUUUCCACUCCUCUGGUCUGCCUCCUGCAUCGUGGAGAGGGUCUUUUGGCCUUGGGGUGAUGCCUCCCUUCGUGUCUCUCAGGCACCCAAACUCUCAGGCAUGAGUAGAGGACACACCUAUGUGGGGUAGUGUCCUGGUCAGAUGUUAAACCUCUGCCCUGGGUGACAAGGAGGAUGUGGGGGAAGGCACUGGUACAACCCUGUUCAGUCUCCAGGCACUACAGACCAUGCUGGGGUACAGCACGAGGUGGGCAGGGGGCCCUGUCUGGGCGUGCUUGAGUUGUCCCCUGUCCCCAGGCGGCUGCCCCCCUUCUGCUGUGGCCGGAAGACAUGAGCUCCCGAUUAAAGGAUAUUUCAACCAGACGGAGGAGCUGCAGCGGCCGGGGGAACGCACAGCAGGAGGGGACCGGGACAGGACACGUGAGAGACCAGAGGAGAAGCCAAUUUACGCUGGAAUGUAAAUACGGCAGCAGCACGCUGCUCCGCGGGGCGCGUCACCCCUUUCCUGGCUCUGGAAACUGUGUGGGAACCAUCAGCAACAGCUCAGGUCAUGUCUGUGCCGUGGCAGAACCUGAGUCUCACCUGGGCACUGUGCAGAGGUGAGCAGGAGGAGGGUCAGGGGCUGUUGCAUCAGUCCAGUCCCACUGCUGCAGCUCCUGCUUUCUGCGGUGAGGUACCAUGGGUCACAUAUUCACUGGCAGAACGAUGGAGCCUCAGCCCUCCCUAAUAAUCCUAAGAAUCAAUAGCGGUGCCUCUAGCCCCCAUGGAUGUGCACAACAACAGCUCGGAGUUAAGACGGGAACUUCUCAGCAGGAUUAACUCUGAAACCUAGUGACAACAUUUUAAGUAUCUGUGCUAUCUGUGUCCCCGCUGCUCAUUCUAGCAGCUAGUUCCUACUAAUGAGCUUUACUCAACAGCACUAGAUUUGUCUGUAACAGCAAACUCCAGGGAUCAAAAAAAUAAGAUUUAAGAUGCAAAUAUUCUGUGAUAUAUCCAGAUUUAAAUGUUGUGGGUUUGUUUUUUUUUUUUUGUUCCUUAGUCCAGGGGUAAUUUUUAAAGGAAGAGAGAUCCUCCAGAAUGUAAGAUAAAAAAACUUUUUUAAAGGAAAAGACCAAGUAAUAUAAAAUCGCAGUUUUAUUUUUUUUAUCUUAACUGAAUUUGGGAAAGUUUCCUUCUGCUCACCCAGGGCACUUUGAACACAGAUGUCCCAGCCCUGAGGAAACAGUCAGGUUUACCCGCUCCUCUGUGGUUUGUAGAGCAUCACUGGGGAAUUUUUGGGUACACCGGUGUGUCCUGGGACUGGAGGCACGGGCUGAACCCCAGCCAGCCACCUCAAUACCCAGGGCAGAGGGAGCUCAGUGGACAGGUCCAUGGCAGGUGACAAAGAGCCUAAAAUAAGUCCCUAAAAUGUCCAGCCCAGGCUGGCAGUGGAUUCCUCUCCUGCCCCGAGGCUGGACCCCAGUGCAAGGACCUGAGCUCAGACACAGAUGCUGGAAGAAUUCACACCCCCAGACAGGUUGGUUUUCAGUUUUCUUUAAUCUUCCACAUGCCUUUUUUUUUUCCUUUUUCAUUUUGAGGCAGGAGUACUAACUGCUAAAGAUGCAUAUGGAAUUUGAAUAUGAAUGAUAAGAACAGCUGUGUAUAUCUAUUAUGAAUGAACAUAAACAGAAAUGUAUAAACUGAGAUUUUGGGGCUUUUGGAAGAAUUAGUGCCUUUGUUCCUGGAUUUUUUUCGUAUCAAAGUUUGAACCAAAGCCCAUUAGCCUGGACUUUCCCGCAGCCGACCAAGCCAGGAGCUUCAUUUUGCCCUGGCUCUGAGCCAUGCUGAAUUCUCCUCAACAGCUCAGUGAGCCCUAAUCCUAACAAAUUUACCCAGAGAAGUGGGUCUCUUAUUACACAGCCUAAUUUGAAUGCUUUCCAAGGUUAAUUUCGGCUCCCUCUCCGUCUCCAAACACGCCUGCCCCUCCGGAGCCAGCUCCCCCCUUCCCCGUCCCCCCCGCCCGAGCUGCCCGUUAGCGCCAGCCCGGAGGGAGCAGCCCCCUUCACCACCGCGAUGGUUUUUAAACGAGAAAAUAAUGUGAUGUGUGUCCCUGGGUCCGGACUCUGCCUGGAGGGUUUCUUAAUGCCGAGAGACUUCCUCUGCAAAUUAAUUGCAACUUUCGUUGGGCAAAAAUAGCCCUGGAAGCCCCUUCCCCACAGGCCCUUCCACAUGUGAUAUUACUCAGUUCAUAAUCUGAUUCCUGCGACUCUAUUCCUUCCUUCCCCUCCCCAGCGUGCCGGUGACUGCCCGGGAGGGUCCUGGCAGGAUGACCCACUGGCAAAGCAGCCGCGCUGGGGUGGGGGGAGCACCGGUGCCGCCUGGCUGAGCCAGCCCUGGCUCUUGCUUUGCAGCAGACUGUGCAAGAAAACCUCAGCGUGGGGAAACCGAAACCCAGCCCAGUGCAGGGAGCAGCUGUCAGAUCCAUUAGGGAAGGAAUAGGGAAGGAACCAGCCAUGCCUGGUGGACGGCGAUCGCAGGAGAGGGGCGGUGGAGAGGCUGCGGGGUGGUAGGGGCUCACAGUGGGGGUUUAAAAGG
This is a long non-coding RNA of Myiozetetes cayanensis, 3104 nucleotides long. RefSeq lists it as uncharacterized. Lineage: Eukaryota; Metazoa; Chordata; Aves; Passeriformes; Tyrannidae. The record is from RefSeq and is a predicted model, not a curated record. The transcript has 3 exons.